CAGAGCACACAACCCCCACCACCACACGCGGGAUCUCACCGUCAGCACCCUCCGAGGCCAAGGGCGGUCCCGCGGGGAUGGGAAGGCAGCACCCUGACGCGGGCCAACCGGGGGCCGUCGUGCCUCAGCCACAGCCAACCCAAACACGCAUCUUUCACGCGGGGAAGACCACCGGCCCCGCCCCCGCCACCAGUCACGGACAGACCCCAACCCCACAAGGCCCCCACGGGCACGCGGGCAGCGGAGCCCUCAAAGAGCCCACCCUCCCCCGGAGGGGGGAGGGCGAACGGCCCAGCCCGCAGCGACAGCGAGGGGGGGUGGGGGCCGCACCAGGGCCACGGAGGGCGAGGCACCGGAGGCACGAGGGAGAGCCCCGCCGCCAGGGCGCCUCGACGCGACAGCGCCAACAACCGCACACACCGGACGGCCCUCGCGCCAUCUCCCGCCCAUCCAACCAUCCGGAUCUCCAUGCCCGGAGAAGCACCGCGACCCCGAGGGAACGCUCCCCAGGGGCGACCACGCGGGCCGAGGGGGAAGAGAGGGCUGGGCGCAGCCCAACACACGUGCCGACCGCCGCCCGACGACGGCCAGUCGCAGCCCGGGGUGGCGAGCAGGGGAAGCUGAGAGCUGCCCGCUCGCGCCACAGCCCCGGCCGACAAGGCAACACACGGAGAGUGACGCGGAAGGCACGCGCGCACACGGGCACGCGCGCCGGUCCCCAACACGAAGAAAGAGCGACGGACCGCCAGCCCGGCCCGGCGGGACCCUCCCCCGACACGGAGGGGGGAGGCGCGGGCCGCGGCCAUUAGGGCCGAAAGAGCAGCGCCCCGGUCCCCACCGCGGGGACCGGCAGACCCACCAGCACGCCUACGCUUCCCCCCAACAGAAGGGGCAAACGGGGCGCACGGGUGGGGUACGCCACCCAACGCACUCAGCACAGGAGGGACGGCGGCCGGGGGAUAACGGUACCCCGUCAGAAGGCACGCCCCUCUCGGAUCGCUAGAGAAGGCGUUCCUCACCGAAGGUGGGGCCACACCCCACCCCAACUGCCCCCCCCCCCGCCGGGGCCGGCAGGGAGGCAAGCCGAGGGAGCACCACCCGAGAGAACCGAUCAAUCGGGCGAGGGGGGUCUGCGGUAUAAGGAAGAACGGCACCUCGAGCAUCCGCGGCCAGGGCAAGGGCAGGCUGGGCGCAUUACCAAUCCCAUUCGCCACAGCCCUCCCGGCCCCCGCACUCGUCCGGCCAGACCGGACCACACCGCGACCGCUCGACACACCUGGCACACACCACCCCACGGGGGCAGGGUGGCAAGCGCGCAGGCAUGCGCCCACCAAGCCGAUACCCCACACACACGUGGGGACGACGGCACGACACCGGCAGCCUCCCUCCAAGCGAGGCGAAGCACACACGUGUCUCCUUCUCUUACCGCCUCGACCCCCCCAAGACUCCCAAGGGGCACAGGCAGCAGCCAGAGGCAGCCGCAGCAGCGACACCCGGGAGAGGGCGCUGGGGGGACAGGAGCAACACCACCACUCGGCUUCAGGCGCCUGAGGCACAACCUGGACCACUCCAGGGGCACCGCACAGGCUCGCGCGGAGGCAAGGCUCCGCAGCCACAGAGCCCACGACAGGGCGACGGCGAGGGAUGCCCGCCACGUCAGAGGACCCCGACCCCCCCCGCGCGCAAAAGCACGGGGACAGCAGAGGCCGGGCCGGUUUCCGCACCCCUGCCACCCACACACCACCCGCAGGUGGGGAAGGCAGAACGAGGGGCCCGCAGGCCAGAACGAGAGGCUCAGCAGCAUUCACC
This is a long non-coding RNA of Oryctolagus cuniculus (rabbit), 1809 nucleotides long. The record is from Ensembl. NCBI's taxonomy places the organism in Eukaryota, Metazoa, Chordata, Mammalia, Lagomorpha, Leporidae.